AAAUGGGGGUGGGGGGUCGCCUCCGUUGAUGGAUAUUUCUUGAACGCUCCUGGGCGGCGACAAGGUCAUUUUUUCAGGGUUGGAAGGAGUUGCAUUUUCAGCCAUCUUGGGUUUUGCAGAGAGGUUCGAUCUCGUUCUCUGGUUCUGGCCUCUUGAACAUAACGACAGACAUCUUCUCCCUCUCCCGGUUAGUCACUACCCUGUGGGUUGGGCUCGUGAAUGCUCCAUUACUCAAUAUC
Molecule: long non-coding RNA, 239 nt
Organism: Rhododendron vialii
Lineage: Eukaryota; Viridiplantae; Streptophyta; Magnoliopsida; Ericales; Ericaceae
Exons: 2
Source: RefSeq, a predicted model, not a curated record